This 84-nucleotide transfer RNA is filed under the name Candidatus Woesearchaeota archaeon. Its description in RNAcentral is "tRNA-Leu". It matches the Rfam family "tRNA". Rfam says of the family: Transfer RNA (tRNA) molecules are approximately 80 nucleotides in length. Their secondary structure includes four short double-helical elements and three loops (D, anti-codon, and T loops). Further hydrogen bonds mediate the characteristic L-shaped molecular structure. tRNAs have two regions of fundamental functional importance: the anti-codon, which is responsible for specific mRNA codon recognition, and the 3' end, to which the tRNAs corresponding amino acid is attached (by aminoacyl-tRNA synthetases). tRNAs cope with the degeneracy of the genetic code in two manners: having more than one tRNA (with a specific anti-codon) for a particular amino acid; and 'wobble' base-pairing, i.e. permitting non-standard base-pairing at the 3rd anti-codon position. Lineage: Archaea; Nanobdellati; Candidatus Woesearchaeota. RNAcentral also lists the same sequence under 1 other name. The record is from RNAcentral.
GCGGGGAUGCCGGAGUGGCCAAACGGGGCAGACUCAAGAUCUGCUGGCUUAGUGCCUACGUGGGUUCAAAUCCUACUCCCCGCA